This 497-nucleotide ribosomal RNA is filed under the name uncultured bacterium. RNAcentral describes it as "partial 16S ribosomal RNA". It matches the Rfam family "Bacterial small subunit ribosomal RNA", at positions 28 to 506 of the family's 1533-position model. The record is from RNAcentral.
GAUGAACGCUGGCGGCGUGCCUAAUACAUGCAAGUCGAGCGAACAGACGAGGAGCUUGCUCCUCUGACGUUAGCGGCGGACGGGUGAGUAACACGUGGAUAACCUACCUAUAAGACUGGGAUAACUUCGGGAAACCGGAGCUAAUACCGGAUAAUAUAUUGAACCGCAUGGUUCAAUAGUGAAAGACGGUUUUGCUGUCACUUAUAGAUGGAUCCGCGCCGCAUUAGCUAGUUGGUAAGGUAACGGCUUACCAAGGCGACGAUGCGUAGCCGACCUGAGAGGGGGGUCGGGCCAAAGGGGAAGGGGGACACGGCCCGGACCCCUAGGGGGGGCAGCGAGGGGGAACUUUCCGCAAGGGGGGAAAGCCUGCGGGGGCAACGCCGGGGGGGGGAAGAAGUGUUUGGGAUGGUAAAACUUUUUUAUUGGGGAAAAAAAAAUGUGAAGGUAACUAUGCCCGUUUGGAGGGAACCGAGUCAGAAAGCCAGGGCUAACUAGGG